Lotus japonicus is the source of this 1902-nucleotide RNA transcript. It is a transcript of the gene named S-type anion channel SLAH4-like, with no coding region annotated. The record is from RefSeq and is a predicted model, not a curated record. Lineage: Eukaryota; Viridiplantae; Streptophyta; Magnoliopsida; Fabales; Fabaceae. The transcript has 5 exons.
AGAGAACUAAACAUCAUUUUUACGAAUAGCUUUACAACUAUGAUUAAGAUGGGUGAAGCUGAGAGCAAGCCAUCAAUUGAGGUUGUGGUAUGUGCUAAUUCUAUGAACAAUACUAGUGCAAACAACCACCAGUCACACCCAUCACAUUCACCAAUCUUAACCAAGAUCCAUGCUGGCUACUUUUUCAUUAGUCUUUCAUUUGGUGCACAAGCUUUGCUGUGGAAGAGUUUGAGUGAACGUAACAAGGACUCACAAACUCUAUGGCAAAGUUUUAAUUUGAUGCCACAUGUUGCAUUUCUACUACUAUGGUCUCUUUCAGUGCUCAUUGCAACUACUCUGUCUUUUCUUUACAUGCUCAAAUGCAUCUUCCACUUUGAUAUGGUGAAGGAGGAGUUUUCACACUGUAUUGGAGUGAACUACAUGUAUGCUCCUUGGAUUUCAUGGCUUCUCAUGCUUCAAUCAGCACCAAUGAUUGUUCCCAGAACUUUUCACUACCAAUUUCUCUGCUUGGCCUUUUCAUUUGCAAUAUUGCUGCUUGAUGUCAAACUCUAUGGACAAUGGUUCACAACAGAAAAGAGGUUUCUGUCAGUGGUUGCUAACCCUGUGAGCCAUGUUUCAGUUAUAGGGAACUUGGUGGCGGCUCAAGUGAUAACAGAAAUUGGUUGGAAAGAGUGUGGGAUUUCAAUGUUCUCACUUGGAAUGGUUCAUUAUUUGAUUCUGUUUGUGACACUGUAUCAACGUUUGACAAGUAGCAACCAGUUUCCCACAGUGCUGAGGCCAGCUUACUUCUUGUUUUUUGCUGCACCAAGCAUUGCAAGUUUGGCUUGGAAAUCCAUCACAGGUGGUUUUCUCAUCCCAUCAAGGAUGCUGUUCUUUCUGUCAUUGUUCCUUUUCAUGUCUCAGGCUUGCAGACCAAACUUCUUCAAGAAAUCUAUGAGAAAAUUAACAGUCACUUGGUGGGUGUGCUCAUUCCCUUUAACCUUCCUUGGUCUAGCUUGUGCUGAAUAUUCUCAAGAAGUGGAAGGUAGCAUGGCCUCUGCGUUAAUGCUGGUGAUAUGUGUUGUCUCGGUGCUGGUUUUCAUUUCUCUGAUGCUCAUCUCUGUGCUCAAAAUUGAGAGGCUGCUGCUAAAAAAAGCUCCUAUUAGUAACUCUAAAUGAAGUCUCUUUAACCCAAAAACUGGAAUUAUACCGAUAAACUGCAGAGCUAAGAGCAAAUACUCUUGUUUCCCAUGGCCAGAACGACGUCGUUCUCCAUUCAUCUCUGUUCUCAUGAACCCUAAGCUGGCAAUCACGUGUUUGCUCUCCCCUUCUACCCACUCCAUCGUACCAUUCAUCAUCUUCCGUUUCUCUUCCGCCUCCAUUCGUGCAUAACUUUUCUUUGAUUUGUCUCUUCUACGGCAGUACCAACGUCACAUAUAUCACGCGUUCCAGCCAAGAUCGACGUCACCCUGACCAGAAGAUCUGCUUUCCACGAUCUGCGGCUUCUUCUCAUGGCUUCUCCGGUGAUGGCUUUCACGUCAACCCUUCAACCAUUUCGUGGCUGGGACAGAAUUGCAGAGAAACUGAGUUUCAUGUUGGUCUUUGGAGAUUUAGUGUGGAUUGGUAUGACUCAAUGCAGGAAGAGAACUGUUCAAAAAAUGUGGAAGUCUGUGAUACAUGGCAAGUCCUUGCAGUCCUUGGCAGGUAUUGUUUUUCAAUGCAGACGCUUAAGGAUGAUUGAGGGGAGCUCAAAGUUGCAAAGCCCUCUCUCAGUCCUUCUCUCCCUUGAUUUCCUUCUAUAUGUAUAUAUGUUAUCCCAGAAGAUUUCUUAUAACUGGUGCAUGUAUUUAUGUAAACUCAUACUCACAACAUCUUUGGAAGAAAAUGAUUGUGAAUAUAACCUGAAGGAAACCAAUUCAAUGA